This 2469-nucleotide long non-coding RNA is filed under the name Homo sapiens (human). Its description in RNAcentral is "HSALNT0306984". Lineage: Eukaryota; Metazoa; Chordata; Mammalia; Primates; Hominidae. The record is from RNAcentral.
UUCACCUUCUGAGGCCUCCCCAGCCAUGUGGAACUAGCCAUCUUUCUCCUCUCUUUUAACAAAGCACCCUCGCUGUUGGUCCCUGCAAGCUUCAAAGAAUAAAAGGCAAUGCAGAGAAGGCUGGAGAUCAGGAGAGCAAUGGUGUAUUUCCAGUUUGAGUCCGAAGGCCUGGGAGUCAGCAGAGCUGCUGGUAUAUUUAUGCCCAAAGGCCAAUAAACUCAAGACCCAGGAAAAGCCGAUGUUUCCAUUUGAGUCCAAAGUUCUGGAAGCUAAAAGUCCAAGAUCAAGGUGUUGGCAGAGUUGAUUCCUUCCAAGGACUGAGGGAGAAUUUGUUCCACGCCUCUGUCCUGGUUUCUUGUGGUUUGCUGGCAAUCUUUGGCAUUCCUUGGCUUAUAGAUACAUCAUCCCAAUAUUUGCCUAUAUUUUCAUGUGGUUUCUCCUUGUUUAUGUGUCCACGUCCAAAUCUACCCCCCCCCCCUUUUUUUUUUUUUUGGAAACGAAGUCUUGCUCUGUUGCCUCGGCUGAAGUACAGUGGUGAGAUCUUGGCUUACUGCAACAUUUGCCUCCCAAAUUCAAGUGAUUGUCCUGCCUCAGGCUCCCAAGUAGCUGGGAUUACAGGCACCCACCACCACGCCCAGCUAAUUUUUGUAUUUUUAGUAGAGACAGGGUUUCACUAUGCUGGCCAAGCUGGUCUCAAACUCCUGACCUCAAGUGAUCUGCCUACCUCGGCCUCCCAAAGUGCUGGGAUUACAGGCAUGAACCACCGCACCCGGCCCAAAUUUACCCUUUUUAUAAAAACAUCCGUCUUAUUGUAUUAGGCCCAGCUAAUGACCUCAUCUUUACAUUGAUUACCUCUAUAAAAACCCUGUUUCAGUUCACAUUCUGAGGUACUGACAGUUAGGACUCCCACAUAUUUUUUGGUGGGGAGACACAACUCAACUCAUAAUACCUUCUGAAACUGAACAGCAGUUUCCUUGUUUCAAAGCAAUGCUACAAGAAAAACUUGGAACUGUAACAUCCCCCUGCAAACUGGGAAGGAGCUAAGAGACCAAAGAAUGAUUCAGACAAGUCCAGCUUGAUGAGUAGAUGAGUCUAUCAGGACUUAUGUACAUGGCACUCCUGGAUAGCGGCAGGACAGCGCUGGAGAUCUGCGCCACCUCCCGACUCCAAACUGCUUUUAAAUUAAUUUCCUGGCUCUUUGCCUACUGUGUUUGAGUGAUGAGACUGUUUUUCUUGAUCGGUUCUCAGAUACUCACUGGGAUGUUUGGGUUCUUAGAGACACCUGCUCCUCGGUUGGGCACCCUGGACUUGGCUCACUGCCCAGCCUUCAGAAUUCAGGCAGUGGACAUACAUCCUUAAGUAACUUGGUGGGGGACCCAUCACACUACAGAUGUAACGAUAAUAAUUUGGCUCAAAUCACUUUCUAGUUAACAAUCUGGUAAAAGCAAUAAGUAGGAUAACCAUAUAACUUAUUAAGUCAAAACAGUUACGAGGCUAAAUUUUAGUAAUACUCACUGAGACAGGGAGCAAAAACAUGUCCCAAGCAAACUGGGAUGCAUGUUCCACCCUAGCUAUAUAAGAUAACAUGCCAGGUGUAGAGACACUGAAAGCUCCUUACUCCGUCUGCCCAGGUCUUCUGUCUCAGCAACUGAAUAGGACUGGCUGCCAUCAAUCAUGUCCCAGAAUGAGGGUUUUAAAAGAAUCUCACAGCGUUAAUGUCAGUGUUGUGCAGCUUCCUGCAGUGGCACAUCCAAUAUCAGACCUCCCAAUCAUCUUAGUAUCUCUUCCGGUCCCAGUGUUUUGCUCUUAUAGCUCUAUCCCUCUUCUGAACAUAAUCAUGAUUAUAAUGAGAUAAUUGAUUGUGUUCCUAGCAGUUUGGUAUCUGGCUUUUUCACUAGAUUGUUAGCUUCCUGAGGGCAGGGGCCAUGUCUCUUGUUCUUCCCUGUAUCCUCAAGCAGCUCAUGCUAGAUUUUGCCAAUAUUAUGUGCCAUCAAUAUCUGUUGAAUGAAUGUAAACAGCACUUCUAGAAGUACUUAAUAGAUGGUGGUUAAAUAAAUGAAUGAGAUACAUACACAUAUACUGAAAUAAAACUUACUAAUUCAAGUUUUCCCAUUAUUUUUAAGAACCUUUGGAAUUCUCUACUGCAUACUCAUGGGAGAAUAAAAAUGAAAAGGACCAAAAUGUCUCAGUAUUCUUAUAACAAUAAUUUUGACCUUACAGGCCUUUGAAAGGGUCUCAGAAACCCCUGAGUACUCCCUGGAUCACACUUUGAGAACCACUACUGAGGACAAGAUAGAAAAGACCAGGGUCCCCAGUUGGUUGCAUGGAGCAGAACCCUCUAACCGCCCCACUCCCUACCCCUAGGACGAGCUACCAGCAUAGGUCUUCAUAUAAAUUGUAAAUAAACCUUCUACUACCUUAUGAAAGCCAUUGUACUUUGAUUUCUGUUUCAGCGAUCAAACCAACAUG